Molecule: ribosomal RNA, 326 nt
Filed under: uncultured eukaryote
Lineage: Eukaryota
Description: partial 18S ribosomal RNA
Rfam family: Eukaryotic small subunit ribosomal RNA
Source: RNAcentral
CCCUUAGAUGUUCUGGGCCGCACGCGCGCUACACUGACGGAGCCAACGAGUAUUUUCCUUGUCCGGAAGGACUGGGUAAUCUUGUGAAACUUUGUCGUGCUGGGGAUAGAGCAUUGUAAUUAUUGCUCUUCAACGAGGAAUUCCUAGUAAGCGUGAGUCAUCAGCUCGCGUUGAUUACGUCCCUGCCCUUUGUACACACCGCCCGUCGCUACUACCGAUUGAAUGGCUUAGUGAGGCCCUCGGAUUGAGCCAAGGCUCCUUCACGGGAGCUCUGGAUUGAGAAGUUGGUCAAACUUGGUCAUUUAGAGGAAGUAAAAGUCGUAACA